This 501-nucleotide ribosomal RNA is filed under the name uncultured bacterium. RNAcentral's name for it is "partial 16S ribosomal RNA". It matches the Rfam family "Bacterial small subunit ribosomal RNA", at positions 30 to 523 of the family's 1533-position model. The record is from RNAcentral.
AUUGAACGCUGGCGGCAGGCUUAACACAUGCAAGUCGAGCGGGGGAAGGUAGCUUGCUACCGGGCCUAGCGGCGGACGGGUGAGCAAUGCUUAGGAAUCUGCCUAUUAGUGGGGGACAACAUCUCGAAAGGGAUGCCAAUACCGCAUACGUCCUACGGGAGAAAGCAGGGGAUCUUCGGACCUUGCGCUAACAGAUGAGCCUAAGUCGGAUUAGCUAGUUGGUGGGGUAAAGGGCUACCAAGGCGACGAUCUGUAGCGGGUCUGAGAGGAUGAUCCGCCACACUGGGACUGAGACACGGCCCAGACUCCUACGGGAGGCAGCAGUGGGGAAUAUUGGACAAUGGGGGGAACCCUGAUCCAGCCAUGCCGCGUGUGUGAAGAAGGCCUUAUGGUUGUAAAGCACUUUAAGCGAGGAGGAGGCUACUUUAGUUAAUACCUAGAGAUAGUGGACGUUACUCGCAGAAUAAGCACCGGCUAACUCUGUGCCAGCAGCCGCGGUAA